Molecule: small RNA, 164 nt
Filed under: human gut metagenome
Description: Clostridiales-1 RNA
Rfam family: Clostridiales-1 RNA
Source: RNAcentral
GAUACCAGGGGUAUAAACCAUAAAAACACGAUGUGCUCGCACAAGAGUGUUUUUAUGGUUUCAUACUCCGCCCCGAUAUGAGCAUAAAAGUGAAGCACAAGCUUCACGAUAUGCGAAUAUUGGGGCAGGAUUGUAAGAGUGCAAAGCACGAAACAGUCCGUGUA